Molecule: ribosomal RNA, 252 nt
Filed under: uncultured bacterium
Lineage: Bacteria
Description: partial 16S ribosomal RNA
Rfam family: Bacterial small subunit ribosomal RNA
Source: RNAcentral
UACGUAGGUCCCGAGCGUUGUCCGGAUUUAUUGGGCGUAAAGCGAGCGCAGGUGGUUUAUUAAGUCUGGUGUAAAAGGCAGUGGCUCAACCAUUGUAAGCAUUGGAAACUGGUAGACUUGAGUGCAGGAGAGGAGAGUGGAAUACCAUGUGUAGCGGUGAAAUGCGUAGAUAUAUGGAGGAACACCGGUGGCGAAAGCGGCUCUCUGGCCUGUAACUGUCACUGAGGCUCGAAAGCGUGGGGAGCAAACAGG